AUGUCUACUGUUGUUGUGGUGUCUACUGUUGAUGAAGUGGUGGUUUCUGGAGUUGUUGUGUCUACUGUUGUUGUGGUGUCUACUGUUGUUGUGGUGGUCGGUGCUGGAGUUGUGUUGUCUACUGUUGUUGUGGUGGUUGGUGCUGGAGUUGUGAUGUCUACUGUUGUGGUGGUCGGUGCUGCAGCUGUGGUGUUUUUUGUAUGUGAUGUUUUUGUGGGGGUGUUUUUUGUAUGUGAUGUUUUUGUGGGGGUGUGUUUCGUACGUGGGGUUUUUGUGGGGGGGUGUUUUGUAUGUGGUGUUUUUGUGGUUGUGUGUUUUGUAUGUGGUGCUUUUCUGGUGGUGUGUUUUGUAUGUGGUGUUUUUGUGGUGGUGUGUUUUGUAUGUGGUGUUUUUGUGAUGGCGCGUUUUGUAUGCGGGGCUUUUGUCGUCGUGGUUUCUGGAGUUGUGUUGUCUACUGUUGUUGUGGUGGUCGGCGCUGGAGUUGUGGUGUCUACUGUUGUGGUGGUUGGUGCUGGAGUUGUUGUGUCUACUGUUGUUGUGGUGUCUACUGUUGAUGAAGUGGUGGUUUCUGGAGUUGUUGUGUCUACUGUUGUUGUGGUGUCUACUGUUGUUGUGGUGGUCGGUGCUGGAGUUGUGUUGUCUACUGUUGUUGUGGUGGUUGGUGCUGGAGUUGUGAUGUCUACUGUUGUGGUGGUCGGUGCUGCAGCUGUGGUGUUUUUUGUAUGUGAUGUUUUUGUGGGGGUGUUUUUUGUAUGUGAUGUUUUUGUGGGGGUGUGUUUCGUACGUGGGGUUUUUGUGGGGGGGUGUUUUGUAUGUGGUGUUUUUGUGGUUGUGUGUUUUGUAUGUGGUGCUUUUCUGGUGGUGUGUUUUGUAUGUGGUGUUUUUGUGGUGGUGUGUUUUGUAUGUGGUGUUUUUGUGAUGGCGCGUUUUGUAUGCGGGGCUUUUGUCGUCGUGGUUUCUGGAGUUGUGUUGUCUACUGUUGUUGUGGUGGUCGGCGCUGGAGUUGUGUUGAUCAGUUCUGGAGUUGUGAUGGUUGGCGCUGGAGUUGUGGUGGUCGGUGCUGGAGUUGUUGUGUCUACUGUUGUUGUGGUGGUUGACGCUGGAGUUGUGGUGUCUACUGUUGUCGUGGUGGUCGGCGCUGGAGUUGUGUUGAUCAGUUCUGGAGUUGUGAUGGUCGGCGCUGGAGUUGUGGUAGUCAGUGCUGGAGUUGUUGUGUCUACUGUUGUUGUGGUGAUUGGCGCUGGACUUGUGGUGGUCGGCAGUAGUGUUGUGGUGUCUACUGUUGUAGUGGUGGUUGGCGCUGGAGUUGUGGUGUCUACUGUUGUUGUGGUGGUCGGCGCUGGAGUUGUGUUGAUCAGUUCUGGAGUUGUGAUGGUUGGCGCUGGAGUUGUGGUGGUCGGUGCUGGAGUUGUUGUGUCUACUGUUGUUGUGGUGGUUGACGCUGGAGUUGUGGUGUCUACUGUUGUUGUGGUGGUUGACGCUGGAGUUGUGGUGUCUACUGUUGUCGUGGUGGUCGGCGCUGGAGUUGUGUUGAUCAGUUCUGGAGUUGUGAUGGUCGGCGCUGGAGUUGUGGUAGUCAGUGCUGGAGUUGUUGUGUCUACUGUUGUUGUGGUGAUUGGCGCUGGACUUGUGGUGGUCGGCAGUAGUGUUGUGGUGUCUACUGUUGUAGUGGUGGUUGGCGCUGGAGUUGUGUUGAUCAGUGCUGGAGUUGUGAUGGUCGGCGCUGGAGUUGGGGUGGUGGAUGCUGGAGUUGGGGUGUCUACUGUUGUUGUGGGGGUCGGUGCUGGAGUUGUGGUGUCUACUGUUGUUCUGGGGGUUUGCACUGGAGUUGGGGUGUGUUUUGUAUGUGGUGGUUUUGUGGUGGUGUGUUUGGUAUGUGUUGUUUUUGUGAUGGUGUGUUUUGUAUGCGGGGCUUUUGUGGUCGAGGUUUCUGGAGUUGUGGUGUCCACUGUUGUUUUGGUGGUCAAUACUGGAGUUGUGAUGGUCGGUGCUGGAGUUGUUGUGUCUACUGUUGUGGUGUCUACUGUUGAUGUGGUUGUCGGUGCUGGAGUUGUUGUGUCUGCUGUUGUUGUUGUGUCUACUGUUGAUGAAGUGGUGGUUUCUGGAGUUGUUGCGUCUACUGUUGUUGUGAUGGUCGGCGCUGGAGUUGUGGUGCGUUUUGUAUGUGGGGUUUUUGUGGUGGUGUGUUUUGUAUGUGGUGUUUUUGUGAUGGUGUGUUUUGUAUGUGGGUUUUUUGUAGUGGUGGUUUCUGGGGUUGUGGUAGUCAGUGCUGAAGUUGCGAUGGUCAAUGCUGGAGUUGUUGUGCUCUUUGGAUGUGGUGUUUUUGUGGUGGUGCGUUUUGUAUGUGGGGUUUUUAUAAUGGAGGUUUCUGGAGUUGUGGUGGUUGGUGUUGGAGUUGUGGUGGUUGACGCUGGAGUUGUGGUGUGUUUAGUAUGUGGUGUUUUUGUGGUGGUAUGUUUUCUAUGUGUGGUUUCUUUGGUCCCGGUUUCUGUAGUUGGGGUGGUUGGUUCUGUGGUUGUGGUGGUCGGUGCUGAAGUUGUGGUGGUCGGUGCUGAAGUUGUGGUGGUCGGUGCUGGAGUUGUUGUGUCUACUGUUGUUGUGGUGGUGGUCGGCGCUGGAGUUGUUGUGUCUACUGUUGUUGUGGUGGUCGGCGCUGGACUUGUGGUGGUCGGCAGUAGUGUUGUGGUGUCUACUGUUGUAGUGGUGGUUGGCGCUGGAGUUGUGUUGAUCAGUGCUGGAGUUGUGAUGGUCGGCGCUGGAGUUGGGGUGGUCGGUGCUGAAGUUGUGGUGGUCGGUGCUGAAGUUGUGGUGGUCGGUGCUGGAGUUGUUGUGUCUACUGUUGUUGUGGUGGUGGUCGGCGCUGGAGUUGUUGUGUCUACUGUUGUUGGGGUGGUUGACGCUGGAGUUGUGGUGUCUAGUGUUGUUGUGGUGGUCGGCGCUGGAGUUGUGUUGAUCAGUUCUGGAGUUGUGAUGGUCGGCGCUGGAGUUGUGGUGGUUGGUGCUGGAGUUGUUGUGUCUACUGUUGUUGUGGUGAUCGGCGCUGGACUUGUGGUGGUCGGCAGUAGUGUUGUGGUGUCUACUGUUGUAGUGGUGGUUGGCGCUGGAGUUGUGUUGAUCAGUGCUGGAGUUGUGAUGGUCGGCGCUGGAGUUGGGGUGGAAGACGCUGGAGUUGUGGUGUCUACUGUUGUUGUGGGGGUCGGUGCUGGAGUUGUGGUGUCUACUGUUGUUCUGGGGGUUUGCACUGGAGUUGGGGUGUCUACUGUGGUUGUGGUGGUCGGCGCUGGAGUUUUGGUGUGUUUUGUAUGUGGGGUGUUUGUGGUGGUGUUUUUUGUAUGUGGUGUUUUUGUGGUGGUGUGUUUUGUAUGUGGUGUUUUUGUGGUUGUGCGAUGUGUAUGUGGUGGUUUUGUGGUGGUGUGUUUGGUAUGUGUUGUUUUUGUGAUGGUGUGUUUUGUAUGCGGGGCUUUUGUGGUCGAGGUUUCUGGAGUUGUGGUGUCCACUGUUGUUUUGGCGGUCAGUGCUGGAGUUGUUGUGUCUACUGUUGUUGUGGUGUCUACCGUUGAUGUGGUUGUCGGUGCUGGAGUUAUUGUGUCUGCUGUUGUUGUGGUGUCUACUGUUGAUGAAGUGGUGGUUUCUGGAGUUGUUGCGUCUACUGUUGUUGUGAUGGUCGGCGCUGGAGUUGUGGUGCGUUUUGUAUGUGGGGUUUUUGUGGUGGUGUGUUUUGUAUGUGGGGUUUUUGUAGUGGUGGUUUCUGGAGUUGUGGUAGUCAGUGCAGAAGUUGCGAUGGUCAAUGCUGGAGUUGUUGUGCGCUUUGGAUGUGGUGUUUUUGUGGUGGUGCGUUUUGUAUGUGCGGUUUUUAUGAUAGAAGUUUCUGGAGUUGUGGUGGUUGACGCUGGAGUUGUGGUGUGUUUAGUAUGUGGUGUUUUUGUGGUGGUAUGUUUUCUAUGUGUGGUUCCUUUGGUCCCGGUUUCUGUAGUUGGGGUGGUUGGUUCUGUGGUUGUGGUGGUCGGUGCUGAAGUUGUGGUGGUCGGCGCUGGAGUUGUUGUGUCUACUGUUGUUGUGGUGGUUGACGCUGGAGUUGUGUUGAUCAGUUCUGGAGUUGUGAUGGUCGGCGCUGGAGUUGUGGUGGCUGGUGCUGGAGUUGUGGUAGUCGGUGCUGGAGUUGUUGUGUCUACUGUUGUUCUGGUGAUCAGCGCUGGACUUGUGGUGGUCGGCAGUAGUGUUGUGGUGUCUACUGUUGUAGUGGUGGUUGGCGCUAGAGUUGUGUUGAUCAGUGCUGGAGUUGUGAUGGUCGGCGCUGGAGUUGGGGUGGUGGACGCUGGAGUUGUGGUGUCUACUGUUGUUGUGGGGGUCGGUGCUGGAGUUGUGGUGUCUACUGUGGUUGUGGUGGUUGGCGCUGGAGUUGUGGUGUGUUUUGUAUGUGGGGUGUUUGUGGUGGUGUUUUUUGUAUGUGGUGUUUUUGUGGGGGGGUGUUUUGUAUGUGGUGCUUCUGUGGUGGUGUGUUUGGUAUGUGUUGUUUUUGUGAUGUUGUGUUUUGUAUGCGGGGCUUUUGUGGUCAAGGUUUCCGGAGUUGUGGUGUCCACUGUUGUUUUGGUGGUCAAUACUGGAGUUGUGGUGGUUGGUGUUGGAGUUGUGGUGGUUGACGCUGAAGUUGUGGUGUGUUUAGUAUGUGGUGUUUUUGUGGUGGUAUGUUUUCUAUGUGUGGUUUCUUUGGUCCUGGUUUCUGUAGUUGUGGUGGUCGGUGCUGAAGUUGUGGUGGUCGGCGCUGGAGUUGUUGUAAUGGUUGGCGCUGGAGUUGUUGUGUGUUUUUUAUGUGGUGUUUUUGUGGUGGUGUGUUUUGUAUGUGGGGUUUUUGUAGUGGUGGUUUCUGGGGUUGUGGUAGUCAGUGCUGAAGUUGCGAUGGUCAAUGCUGGAGUUGUUGUGCUCUUUGAAUGUGGUGUUUUUGUGGUGGUGCGUUUUGUAUGUGGGGUUUUAAUGAUGGAGGUUUCUGGAGUUGUGGUGGUUGGUGUUGGAGUUGUGGUGGUCGACGCUGGAGUUGUGGUGUGUUUAGUAUGUGGUGUUUUUGUGGUGGUGUGUUUUCUAUGUGUGGUUUUUUUGGUCCUGGUUUCUGUAGUUGGGGUUGUUGGUGCUGUGGUCGUGGUGGUCGGUGCUGAAGUUGUGGUGGUCGGCGCUGGAGUUGUUGUGUCUACUGUUGUUGUGGUGGUUGACGCUGGAGUUGUGUUGAUCAGUUCUGGAGUUGUGAUGGUCGGCGCUGGAGUUGUGGUAGUCGGUGCUGGAGUUGUUGUGUCUACUGUUGUUGUGGUGAUCGGCGCUGGACUUGUGGUGGUCGGCAGUAGUGUUGUGGUGUCUACUGUUGUAGUGGUGGUUGGCGCUAGAGUUGUGUUGAUCAGUGCUGGAGUUGUGAUGGUCGGUGCUGUAGUUGUCGUGGUCGGCGCUGAAGUUGUGGUGGUCGGCGCUGAAGUUGUGGUGGUCGGCGCUGUAGUUGUGGUAGUAGGUGCUGGCGUUGUGACUAUUGUUCUUGUUGUUGUCAGUGCUGGAGUUGUUGUGGUGUGUUUUGUAUGUGUGUGUUUUGUAGAUGGUGCUGGAGUUGUUUUGGUGUGUUUUGUAUGUCUGUGUAUGUGUUUUGUAGAUGGUGUUGGAGUUGUGGUGUUGAAGUCUGUAAAACACAAUUUCAUAUUAGCGCUGGCUGAUACGUGCUCACAAUGUAUUAUAAUAUUAUAUGAAAUAUUGCAAUGA
This 5733-nucleotide long non-coding RNA is filed under the name Betta splendens (Siamese fighting fish). RNAcentral describes it as "lncRNA (ENSBSLG00000012867.1)". The record is from RNAcentral. Lineage: Eukaryota; Metazoa; Chordata; Actinopteri; Anabantiformes; Osphronemidae.